Molecule: long non-coding RNA, 700 nt
Organism: Salvia hispanica
Lineage: Eukaryota; Viridiplantae; Streptophyta; Magnoliopsida; Lamiales; Lamiaceae
Source: RefSeq, a predicted model, not a curated record
UGGCAAGCCUCUUAAAGUUAGCCUCCUGAGUCGAAGAAAACUGUUUGCUGGAAAUAUCAUCUCCUCCUGAGGCCAAGCAGAUAUGAUUUCAUCCUCGUUAAAAAUACCCAAAUAGAGAAAGCAAGGCUUCAAAUAAUAGGCUUCGCGUGGGUAUAUUACACGCCUCAAUCGGAGCUCGGAUGAAGAAGUUAUGGCCAUUUGACGAAGGUUGCGCGAAGCAGUCAAAACCGGCAAAAACGCCCGGGUCGGGCGUUUUCAGCAUUAAAAACGCCUGGGGACAGUGGAAACGCCCGGGAUGGCAUAAAAAACGCCCGGGUUGGCACCAUUUUGCCCGGUCGGGCGUUUUUCUCGAAAACUGCCGAAUUUUAGGUUUCAAAUUGGUUUCCAGGGCGGUUUUGGAAGAGAUAGAGACAUAUUCAGACACGAGAAAAGGGAGAGGAAAAGAGAGAAAGAGAGGAGGAAGAAGAAAAGGAAGAAAUUCCGGCCAACAUUCCAACGAUCCGUCUCCAAAUCCCAAUUCCACUCAACGAGAGCAUGUUUCCUAUGGUUUUUGUUGCAAAUUCCACCAUGUGUUUAGGCUAAACUCUCUAUGUUGCUCCAAGUUGUAAUCUUGGCUUUGUAUGGAUGUAUCUACACCUUUGAACUCAUGUGUUUGUUACCAACAAUGUGCUUAAUGUUUAUACACUAUGUUUUUGGCUAA